Molecule: long non-coding RNA, 705 nt
Organism: Populus euphratica (Euphrates poplar)
Lineage: Eukaryota; Viridiplantae; Streptophyta; Magnoliopsida; Malpighiales; Salicaceae
Exons: 2
Source: RefSeq, a predicted model, not a curated record
AACCAAAAUUAAGAGAACAAAAGACAGAUAUUUUUAGUAAUGGAAAAUGUUAAAGAAUGCCAAGUGAAAAUUAAAUGGUAUUCUUUAAGGAAAAUUAUUUUCCCUUUCCCACUAUUUUAGCAGCAAUAAAUCUUAAAAUAAUUUUUUUACACUUAAUACAGAAUGUUAGUGGUUCUAUAAGCACUCUAUUCAUAUGAAGUGACAGGAAAAGGAUCAAGUGCAGAGUUUAGUAUACUAAAUCCUCAGCCUAGAAGAGGAAGUGUGGCAGUAGUUUUGACAACCAUUGGUGGUCCUUAACUGGGAAAAAAAAUACAACAUAGAAUUCACAGAUCCUACACAAAUUUCAUUUCAUGCGUCAUUGACAGUAAAGCAUCUAGCUCAACUGUGUUAUCAAGGAAAAAUCAUUGGGUGAGCAUGGCUUACCAUUACCCCACACUAAUAAGAGGGCAAGUCACACAGUCCUUUAAGUGUGGUCUUAUGGUGAGUUGACCUCACCUAGUAAUUAUCCUUCCCAAGGAUCUAACAUAAGAACAUCAAUGUUGAUCAACUGCCAUUAGCUCAAGAUUUUGACACCAAGUUAUUUAAGUUAUUCCCAUGGUACCCAUGCAUCUACUGAGAAGGUACCCAUAUUAUUCUCUAGUCAUCAAUAAACAUUACACUCAAACAAGACCAACAAUCUACAUCACAUAGUAUCAAUAGAAGUUC